UGGGACAAACACCGGUAGCUAUGGACUUAGUACCUGUUAGACGUUGGUAGCUAUGGAUUUAGUACCUGUUAGAAAUUGGUAGCUAUGGACUUAGUACCUAUUCGUCAGACGCUGGUAGCUAUGGAUUAAUACCUAUUAGGAGUUGGUAGCUAUGGACUUAGUACCUGUUGAACACUGGUAGCUAUGGAUUUAGUACCCGAUGAGUAGGAUAUAGCAGCUAUGGAAUUAGUGCUUUACGAACGAAUAUCGGCAGCUACGGAUUUAGUGUCAGUCCUAUAACCCUGGAAG
This 288-nucleotide long non-coding RNA is filed under the name Lactuca sativa (garden lettuce). RNAcentral's name for it is "long non-coding RNA (LSAT_LNC006879)". The record is from RNAcentral. Lineage: Eukaryota; Viridiplantae; Streptophyta; Magnoliopsida; Asterales; Asteraceae.